Molecule: long non-coding RNA, 1327 nt
Organism: Leopardus geoffroyi (Geoffroy's cat)
Lineage: Eukaryota; Metazoa; Chordata; Mammalia; Carnivora; Felidae
Exons: 3
Source: RefSeq, a predicted model, not a curated record
AGGGGACACACAGGUCCAGGUGUGAUGUGAGUGGUCCCUCUCUCUAAUAUAUGAAUUAACACUCCAGAGAAAUCUCUGCUUUCUAUCUCUGCAACUUUGGGUUUGGUGUGUUUGGAAGUUCUAGUGCUCAAAGGGGAAUUCCUUUCACUAGGGAAGAAAAUCUUGGUUCUGUUUGAUUAGAAGCUGAGAUGGCCUCUUGGCUGCUGCUGCUAAACCAACAGACAUAGAGACAUGAUGGCAGUGAAACCUGACUGCGGUGCAUUUAGGAGAGAAUGUAGGACAGAAAAUGCACACCACCCUCCCUAGGAGACUUCCUCCAGAGGGGAGAAAAGAAAUGAAUGGGUGGUAACUGUCAGGGAAGUGGGCCACAAGAAGGUGAUUUUUCUUUAAGACAAUAUAAAAAAAAAAAAUUAGUGCUUUCUUCCCCUCCCUCUGCUCUGUCUCAUAUAAUGCAAUGCCUUCUUUUUCUUUCUCUUCAACAAAGCUAAAGGGGGAGCUUGCAGAUAGAAGGAUGAAAGCCAGUGGAGGGUUCCCCUGGAUGAACACAGGCAGUGUUAAGUAGGGGACACACUUUGCUGAGUUGCAUUGCACAUGCUAAUAGAAGGGAUGAUGAAAACUUCAAGGGGACUUUUGAAACACCAUAUUAACACCUACAUGUUCUGCUAACCUCCCUCCAGUGCUCAUGGCAGGUGUUACUGAACGAUCAUGGCAGUCCCUCUCCAUGAGCCUGAGGCUACUCAGUUUCUGCCUCGAUCCAGUGUUCUAGGCAGUUGCCACCAACCAGAGUUUGAAAAUAAGAUGACUCCGUUACCAUCUCUGAGUAGCCCAAGUGUUUGACUCCAGCGAUGGUGAUUUCAAAUCAAAGAAGACAAACAAAACAUAAGAUUCUUCAGGUAGAAAGACAGUGACAGAAACACGAAGAUGCAAAAAAGAAUGACAAGUCCUCAAGGAAUGGCCUUCUGGAGGAUAUGAACAGCCUAGGGGAGAAGGGAUUGCACCCAGUCACCUUGAAGAAAUGCCAAGAACUGAAGGCCUCACUCUGAUUCCCCUCUUAUUCCCAAACCCCUGUUCCCCUAACUUGUCAAUUAGACCAUGUUUCAGUCAUAUCUCUGUUGCUUACUGAGCCGCUUUGGGCAAAUCACAAUCCUCCCCCACCCCCCACCAGUCCAACGCCUUGGACAAGUUACUCAGCCUCUCUGAUGAUAAUUAAGAGUUGACCAUGAAGCCCCUACCCUAUAUCAGGUCUUGCACAGAAGAAGCACUUAAUAAAGGUCAAUCCCAUCCCUAUGUCUACUUCCUAACCUCCCCCUUCCUCUAGUCACACCUG